Molecule: ribosomal RNA, 253 nt
Filed under: uncultured bacterium
Lineage: Bacteria
Description: partial 16S ribosomal RNA
Rfam family: Bacterial small subunit ribosomal RNA
Source: RNAcentral
GACGAACCGUACGAACGUUAUUCGGAAUCACUGGGCUUAAAGGGUGCGUAGGCGGCGCAGUAAGUUGGGUGUGAAAUCCCUCGGCUUAACCGAGGAAUUGCGCCCAAAACUACUGUGCUCGAGGGAGGUAGAGGUGAGCGGAACUUAGGGUGGAGCGGUGAAAUGCGUUGAUAUCCUAAGGAACACCGGUGGCGAAAGCGGCUCACUGGACCUCUCCUGACGCUGAGGCACGAAAGCUAGGGUAGCAAACGGG